UGUUAAAAUUUUCAUUUAUUUGUACGGUUAAAAACUAGAAUGAUUAAUAAAAUAACAAGAUAGUGAUGCUUAACGUGUGAUGAGUAUCUCAUGCUGAUGUACACAGAUCAAUUUUUAACAGAAAGAAAGAAUGAAAUUUUUAACA
Molecule: non-coding RNA, 145 nt
Organism: Gossypium hirsutum (cotton)
Lineage: Eukaryota; Viridiplantae; Streptophyta; Magnoliopsida; Malvales; Malvaceae
Source: Rfam